GACGAACGCUGGCGGCGUGCUUAACACAUGCAAGUCGAACGGAAAGGCCCUGCUUUUGCGGGGUGCUCGAGUGGCGAACGGGUGAGUAACACGUGAGUAACCUGCCCUGGACUUUGGGAUAACUUCAGGAAACUGGGGCUAAUACCGGAUAGGAGCUCCUGCUGCAUGGUGGGGGUUGGAAAGUUUCGGCGGUUGGGGAUGGACUCGGGGCUUAUCAGCUUGUUGGUGGGGUAGUGGCUUAGCAAGGCUUCGACGGGUAGCCGGCCUGAGAGGGUGACCGGCGACAUUGGGACUGAGGUACGGCCCAGACUCCUACGGGGGGCAGCAGUGGGGAGUAUUGCACAAUGGGCGGAAGCCUGAUGCAGCGACGCCGCGUGCGGGAUGACGGCCUUCGGGUUGUAAACCGCUUUCGCCUGUGACGAAGCGUGAGUGACGGUAAUGGGUAAAGAAGCACCGGCUAACUACGUG
This 468-nucleotide ribosomal RNA is filed under the name uncultured bacterium. RNAcentral describes it as "partial 16S ribosomal RNA". It matches the Rfam family "Bacterial small subunit ribosomal RNA", at positions 28 to 507 of the family's 1533-position model. The record is from RNAcentral.